UCCUGGUUUCCCAGGCAGUCCCAUCAGAGUGCCCCUAAAAGGGUAGCAACUGACAGCAAGGGUUGCGCUCGUUAAAGGACUUAACCGAACAUCUCACGACACGAGCUGACGACAGCCAUGCAGCACCUGUUUACUUGUCCGAGCAAGCUCGGAAAACCACAUCUCUGUAGCGAUCAAGUAUAUGUCAAACCCAGGUAAGGUUCCUCGCGUAGUGUCGAAUUAAACCACAUGUUCCACCGCUUGUGCGGACCCCCGUCAAUUCCUUUGAGUUUUAAUCUUGCGACCGUACUUCCCAGGCGGAUCACUUAACGCGUUAGCUACAAUACCGAAUUGAUAAAUCAAUCCGACAUCUAGUGAUCAUCGUUUAGGGCGUGGACUAC
This 380-nucleotide unclassified non-coding RNA is filed under the name uncultured bacterium. Its description in RNAcentral is "contains 16S-23S intergenic spacer region". The record is from RNAcentral.